GAGGUGUUAGUAAAAUAUUACAUAAUCUUGUCAAGAUUAAAUUACAGGUGA
Molecule: transfer RNA, 51 nt
Filed under: Hippotragus leucophaeus (blue antelope)
Lineage: Eukaryota; Metazoa; Chordata; Mammalia; Artiodactyla; Bovidae
Description: partial tRNA-Asp
Source: RNAcentral